UGCGGGAUGGAGUAAUUGGCUAACUCAUUAGGCUCAUGACCUGAAGAUUGUAGGUUCAAGUCCUACUCCCGCAU
RNAcentral lists this transfer RNA (74 nucleotides) under Chloropicon mariensis. RNAcentral's name for it is "tRNA-fMet". It matches the Rfam family "tRNA". Rfam says of the family: Transfer RNA (tRNA) molecules are approximately 80 nucleotides in length. The record is from RNAcentral. Lineage: Eukaryota; Viridiplantae; Chlorophyta; Chloropicophyceae; Chloropicales; Chloropicaceae.